UGGCAUAGCGGUUAAAGCGCUUGGCUGCUAACUGAAAGGUUGGUGGUUCGAACCCACC
This 58-nucleotide transfer RNA is filed under the name Loxodonta africana (African savanna elephant). It matches the Rfam family "tRNA", at positions 8 to 63 of the family's 71-position model. From Rfam's summary of the family: Transfer RNA (tRNA) molecules are approximately 80 nucleotides in length. Their secondary structure includes four short double-helical elements and three loops (D, anti-codon, and T loops). Lineage: Eukaryota; Metazoa; Chordata; Mammalia; Proboscidea; Elephantidae. The record is from Rfam by way of RNAcentral.